Oncorhynchus keta (chum salmon) is the source of this 891-nucleotide RNA transcript. RefSeq lists it as uncharacterized. NCBI's taxonomy places the organism in Eukaryota, Metazoa, Chordata, Actinopteri, Salmoniformes, Salmonidae. The record is from RefSeq and is a predicted model, not a curated record. The transcript has 2 exons.
GUCUGGGAUUUGUUUAAAAGGAGCAAACAAAAAAGCCUGCCAGAUACAGCAUAAGGGAUAUUAUGCUAGGGCUUAUACCAACCAUUAGUUCUGAUUAUUGGGGAGCUUUUCAGGAGCAAAAUGGCAGUGAUGAUUGGAAUCGCUUUCAGCAACAAUAGGAACCGGAUCCCAUGCCGCCUCGGCAGAAGCAACCAGCUACAAUGUCUCAGCAAGUGUGGCGGCUAGCGCAGAUAUCUUCGGUGAAGCAACCAACUGCCACGCAAAAGAAGCCUUAGCAAGUGAGGCAUCCAGCCCAAAUUCACCCAGCAGCAGAAGCAACCGGCCCCCAUUCCUCAGCAAGUCUGCCAUCCACCCCAAAUGCCCCAGAAGCAACUGGCCCCAUGUCUCAGAAGAAGCAAUACGGGAGUACUAAAGAUGGUGGUUCUGGUAGCUCUCAGGCCAGCAUCGUUGAACAGUCAGUUCUCAUCCCAAUCCGUUCCUACAGUUCCAAAUCGCACUACGAGGAUGGCAAAACCCGCUACACUCCUGAGAACAUUGUCUGUUAAAAGUGGAAAAGCCCCCAAUGAGUGUUGGCAUAUUUGAACCAAGCACAUACUCACAACUUGUAGGAUCCUUUACUAGUGAACGUACAACUUUAAUCUGAUCUUCACUUUGCUUUCUGAAUUUGAAGUCCUUUAACUAACCAUGUUUCGGCCAACAGGAAAAUCUAAUGGUGGACUCAUCCUUUAGAAGCUGAUGGUGAGACUUUAAUGUCAAAUUGAUGAAAUAAGAUUUUGUUGCUGACACUAAUUUCGUUUAGGUUUUAGUCAUGCUUUUGUUUUGACCAGGAAGUUGCCGGUGCUCUUGCUAUUCUUGCAUGAUUGAAUCAAUAAAAAUGUGUAAUUGAAAUAC